Anolis carolinensis (green anole) is the source of this 72-nucleotide transfer RNA. It matches the Rfam family "tRNA". From Rfam's summary of the family: Transfer RNA (tRNA) molecules are approximately 80 nucleotides in length. Their secondary structure includes four short double-helical elements and three loops (D, anti-codon, and T loops). The record is from Rfam. NCBI's taxonomy places the organism in Eukaryota, Metazoa, Chordata, Lepidosauria, Squamata, Anolidae.
ACAAAUGUAGCUUAGUGAUAAAGCACAUGUUUGGCAUGGAAAAGUCUCUAGGUUCAAUUCCUGGCAUCUCCA